AAAUACAUUGAAAUUAAAACUGAAAUUAUUAAGAAAAAUUCUUUCUAAUGCCCUUUUCAUGAUGCCACUUUUCAACUCUACCAUUUUUUUAGCCAUUUUUAUUUUUAUCCUUUUUAAAAUUUUAAUGACCAUUUUACCCUUAUUUGGAAAUGUUUUAGGUUAACAAAAUGAAAUAUUAAUAUUUUUCGCCUGAAAUAUUAAUAUUUUUUUGCCUAAAAUAUUCCAAAACAAAUUUCCCGACAAAAUUUUUUGAAAAAAAAAAUUUCCUCCAAAAUGUUUAAAAAGAUUUACAAAGGAUUUUAAAAGAGUUUAAAAAGAUUUACAAAGGAUUUUAAAAGAGUUUUAAAAUAUUUAUAAGGGAUUUUAAAAGGGUUUUAAAAAAUUUACAAGAGAUUUUAAAAGGGUUUUAAAAGAUUUACAAGAGAUUUUACAAGGUUUUAAAAGAUUUACAAAUGCUUU
Molecule: small RNA, 459 nt
Filed under: Arabidopsis thaliana (thale cress)
Lineage: Eukaryota; Viridiplantae; Streptophyta; Magnoliopsida; Brassicales; Brassicaceae
Description: ATSL183490
Source: RNAcentral